UACUGAUGGCAUUUUACAUGG
Molecule: non-coding RNA, 21 nt
Organism: Caenorhabditis elegans
Lineage: Eukaryota; Metazoa; Nematoda; Chromadorea; Rhabditida; Rhabditidae
Source: Ensembl